Molecule: ribosomal RNA, 1331 nt
Filed under: Serratia sp. JKS296
Lineage: Bacteria; Pseudomonadati; Pseudomonadota; Gammaproteobacteria; Enterobacterales; Yersiniaceae
Description: bacterial LSU rRNA
Rfam family: Bacterial large subunit ribosomal RNA
Source: RNAcentral
UCUAAGCAUCAGGUAACAUUAAAUCGUACCCCAAACCGACACAGGUGGUCAGGUAGAGAAUACCAAGGCGCUUGAGAGAACUCGGGUGAAGGAACUAGGCAAAAUGGUGCCGUAACUUCGGGAGAAGGCACGCUGGCAUGUAGGUGAAGUCCCUCGCGGAUGGAGCUGAAGCCAGUCGAAGAUACCAGCUGGCUGCAACUGUUUAAUAAAAACACAGCACUGUGCAAACACGAAAGUGGACGUAUACGGUGUGACGCCUGCCCGGUGCUGGAAGGUUAAUUGAUGGGGUCAGCCGCAAGGCGAAGCUCUUGAUCGAAGCCCCAGUAAACGGCGGCCGUAACUAUAACGGUCCUAAGGUAGCGAAAUUCCUUGUCGGGUAAGUUCCGACCUGCACGAAUGGCGUAAUGAUGGCCAGGCUGUCUCCACCCGAGACUCAGUGAAAUUGAACUCGCUGUGAAGAUGCAGUGUACCCGCGGCAAGACGGAAAGACCCCGUGAACCUUUACUAUAGCUUGACACUGAACAUUGAGCCUUGAUGUGUAGGAUAGGUGGGAGGCUUUGAAGCGUGGACGCCAGUCUGCGUGGAGCCAUCCUUGAAAUACCACCCUUUAAUGUUUGAUGUUCUAACUCGGCCCCGUGAUCCGGGGUGAGGACAGUGUCUGGUGGGUAGUUUGACUGGGGCGGUCUCCUCCCAAAGAGUAACGGAGGAGCACGAAGGUUAGCUAAUCACGGUCGGACAUCGUGAGGUUAGUGCAAAGGCAUAAGCUAGCUUGACUGCGAGAGUGACGGCUCGAGCAGGUACGAAAGUAGGUCUUAGUGAUCCGGUGGUUCUGAAUGGAAGGGCCAUCGCUCAACGGAUAAAAGGUACUCCGGGGAUAACAGGCUGAUACCGCCCAAGAGUUCAUAUCGACGGCGGUGUUUGGCACCUCGAUGUCGGCUCAUCACAUCCUGGGGCUGAAGUAGGUCCCAAGGGUAUGGCUGUUCGCCAUUUAAAGUGGUACGCGAGCUGGGUUUAGAACGUCGUGAGACAGUUCGGUCCCUAUCUGCCGUGGGCGUUGGAAGAUUGAGAGGGGUUGCUCCUAGUACGAGAGGACCGGAGUGAACGCACCACUGGUGUUCGGGUUGUCAUGCCAAUGGCAUUGCCCGGUAGCUAAGUGCGGAAAAGAUAAGCGCUGAAAGCAUCUAAGCGCGAAACUUGCCUCAAGAUGAGUCUUCCCUGGGCCUUUAAGGCCCCUGAAGGAACGUUUAAGACUAAGACGUUGAUAGGCUGGGUGUGUAAGUGCAGCGAUGCAUUGAGCUAACCAGUACUAAUGAUCCGUGAGGCUUAACCUU